UACGGGGGGGGCAAGCGUUUGUUCGGAAUUACUGGGCGUAAAGGGCUCGUAGGCGGCCAACUAAGUCAGACGUGAAAUCCCUCGGCUUAACCGGGGGAACUGCGUCUGAUACUGGAUGGCUCGAGUUUUGGGAGAGGGAUGCGGAAUUCCAGGUGUAGCGGUGAAAUGCGUAGAUAUUCGGAAGAACACCGGUGGCGAAGGCGACCUUCUGGGCCGCAACUGACGCUGAGGCACGAAAGCCUGGGGAGCGAACGGG
This 256-nucleotide ribosomal RNA is filed under the name uncultured bacterium. RNAcentral describes it as "partial 16S ribosomal RNA". It matches the Rfam family "Bacterial small subunit ribosomal RNA", at positions 524 to 776 of the family's 1533-position model. The record is from RNAcentral.